This 626-nucleotide ribosomal RNA is filed under the name uncultured fungus. Its description in RNAcentral is "LSU rRNA". It matches the Rfam family "Eukaryotic large subunit ribosomal RNA", at positions 23 to 664 of the family's 3401-position model. The record is from RNAcentral. Lineage: Eukaryota; Fungi.
ACCCGCUGAACUUAAGCAUAUCAAUAAGCGGAGGAAAAGAAACCAACAGGGAUUGCCCUAGUAACGGCGAGUGAAGCGGCAACAGCUCAAAUUUGAAAUCUGGCUCUUUCAGAGUCCGAGUUGUAAUUUGCAGAGGGCGCUUUGGAGUUGGCAGCGGUCCAAGUUCCUUGGAACAGGACGUCACAGAGGGUGAGAAUCCCGUACGUGGUCGCUAGCCUUCGCCGUGUAAAGCCCCUUCGACGAGUCGAGUUGUUUGGGAAUGCAGCUCUAAAUGGGAGGUAAAUUUCUUCUAAAGCUAAAUACUGGCCAGAGACCGAUAGCGCACAAGUAGAGUGAUCGAAAGAUGAAAAGCACUUUGGAAAGAGAGUCAAAUAGCACGUGAAAUUGUUGAAAGGGAAGCGCUUGCAGCCAGACUUGCCUGUAGUUGCUUAUCCGGACUCGUGUCCGGUGCACUCUUCUAUAGGCAGGCCAGCAUCAGUUUGGGCGGUUGGAUAAAGGUCUCUGUCACGUACCUCUCUUCGGGGAGGCCUUAUAGGGGAGACGACAUGCAACCAGCCUGGACUGAGGUCCGCGCAUCUGCUAGGAUGCUGGCGUAAUGGCUGUAAGCGGCCCGUCUUGAAACACGG